AAUUGAUAAAAGUAGACAAGAAGUUGGAUUUAGUUCUGUAACAUUUUUGUGAUUUUAUUUUUAUAGGUUGGAAGUGCGACAGGAAGAAAAGUUUCAUCUCUGAAAACACAGGUUUGCAAUAAUAUAUUUUAUCUUUAAAUCAUAAUUGAGGUAUAGGCAAUUAAGUAUUUAGUCUGUCCAAAAGCUCAGUUUCUAUAUCACUGUCACAAUUCAUAAACUAUUGACAUUUCUUGGUGUCUGUCAUCUCUGAACUUGUUGAAAAUUCUCAUUUGAAACCACAGAAAGUUACAGAUAAGGUAAAUGGUGGGGUCUAAAUUGAAAUUGUUUUAAUUUUUCAUCCUUUGCCAAAAUGUAGUUUAAAUUAUACUUUCUUUAAUAAUACAUGCAUAAGAAAGAUUUUGGGUAUCAGGGCUUUUUUCAAGCCAUUGAUUACUCAGAAUUGCCCGACUUUAUAUACAUCAUACAUGAAAAAAACCCAAAAACAUGAACAUUUUGUGUCAAAGGAAGAGAACAAGACGAUAGAAUUAAAAAAAAAAAAAAAAAACACUCUUAUAAUGUGAUUUCUGAAAAUAAGAUAAAAAAGGAGUUCACAGAACUCGUGUUCCUGCUACAAAACAAUACAGGUAAAUAUCUAACACAUACCUCCACAAAAGUUACAUGAUCUGAGUUAUCUCCCCUUAUGUGACAUUGUUGAAAAAAACUGAAUCAUUCAAAAAAUAUUCUGUAUUUGCUAAAACAGUUUAAAAUAAGAAAACACAUAUAAUUUUCUUAUUUAGAUGAAAGGUCUUAAGGAAUCAUCUACCCUCAAAAUUACAAGAAUUUCUAAAUAGACCAAUGGUAUUUUGCUAUAUAACAAUCCAAUACAGCAGAAGACACCCAAUCUACCUUAAUCCUGCCUGAGUUUUCCUUUAAAUGUAUAAUUUAUUAAAGAAGGAGGUGUGAUAAGAGCUAUAUUUUUUAUUGCUUCUAAAUUUUCAAAAGGGAAAGUUCCUUAAUCUUUUAAAAAAUCUUGGUGGUUCUAUAUAUAUAUAUUGAUUUUAUAAAUUGUUAGUUUUGUGUCACUGUGAACAUGUUGAAAUUGUCAGAAUUGACCAUAAAUAUCCAUUUUGCACAAAUUGAAAAAAACUAGUUCUACUGGCCCAUAGCCAUACCCAACAAAUAUAAGCAAAUAAAUAUUUUAGGUCAAUGGAAUUUGCCUGACAGCACUUAAAGUUACCCUUUGGAUCAAAAGGUUGUGUAUCGCUAUGCUACGAGAAUGUUUUCUAUAGAUUAUUCCAAAAGUAAACCAAAGACAUGCAUAGUAAGGGAAAUCUGUGUUAUUUUGGGACUUUUAUAGCCGAAUAUUUCCGUACAAUGCAUAUUGUUGCUUACAUCCACUUCAUUUGAACUAGUUGUCUCAUUGGCAAUUAUACCACAUCUCACCUUAGUGACCUCUCAGUAAUUUUGUAUCAGUAUUAAUUUGAUAUUAGAAGAAAAAAAUAGAAUUUAAAGGUUUUAUGCUAAUAAAUCUGCUAAAAGUAAAACUUUUGGAAGUUUGAAAUAUAGAAAAAAAGUCUGACACAAAUAUGAAAAGAAGGAUGUUAGAACUUAGAACCACGUCCUAUCAUUUAAGGAAGUUUGUUCACCUCUAAAUGUCUUGGGUUUUUUUGCCAUUGGGUUGUUUUCUUAUUGUAUCUCUUUUUUUAUUCAAAUGUACAUUCUAAUUAUAGAAGGUGUGGUUAAUAUGGUCUGUGUAACUGGAAAAUGAUGUCAAACUAUAUAUAAACCAGAACUAUAAUUAAAUUACAACUGAUUUAAUUGUUUGUACGAAAAAUUGGAAACAUUUUAAGAAAUGCAGAUUUAUUUUCAGCAUUCAGACUUUUGAAAUUGAAAUUGAAAUUCUGGUUAAUUUUGGCAUAAAAUUACAACUAAAAAGAUAGUGAUUUCAUUAAAUUAUGCUGACAAGUGAAAUCUUUAAUUGAUCUUAAAGCUAGAUUGAUUUAAAGUAUAUUUUUUUCUUAAGAAAUUCUACUUUUAAAAUUUGCACUCUAGAAUCACCUAGUCAACUGUAAAAACAGCUGAUUAAGGUAAACAUUGGAAUAAAGUCAAAAGAAAAAUCCCUAAUUCUAUAUUCAAACUGUAAAAAACAAAGAAAAUCCAAGUCAUACUUGAGCUUGAUCCAAAAAUUUUACGUAAAAAUGAUUACAUUCCUCAAAUUUAGAAAUAAGUUCCCCUAAUGCAAAGCUUCAAGAUUUUUUAUUACGAGAGGGGAAAAAAGACUAGGCCAAGAGAAAAAAUGGAAUAUAAUUGAAAAUUCCACAGACAAUUGGAUAAUUUGGCAAUUUGCAUUAUUUUAAGGGCAAUUUAAUAGCAUAUCAAUCAUUGUUUCAGAUCUUAAAUGUAUUUACUUUUUCAAAAUUUUAUAUUACUUAACUAAUUUCAAUAAAUUUAGAAAAUGAAAAGAAUACAAAUUCUAAUUUUGCUUAGCCUGCAGGACAAAUUCCUGUAGGUCUUCGUGAUGAAAUUCUUUAACCUAAUAUGAUAAAUCUUUAAAGUGGAUUAUCAGCUUAGACCAUAUUAAACAAAUUCUUUGGUCAAUCUUGAACAAAAGUCUCAGCCAAGUGUUGUGUAAACAAAUGAAUGUGGAUUAAAAAGAGGCACACGGUCAUUUCAACUUUUUAAUGUGCAGGGUUGGACUUUCGAUAAUCCAGAUUAAAAAGUGGACCACACGCAUGUCUUAAAAGGAUGCAUUCUUUUCUUUUAUUAUUAACUGGUGCAAAGUUUGAAUUUAUUAUUAGAUCUAUGCUGCAAUAAGAUAAACUAAAUCAUACAUGUAAGAAGGGUCAUAACCUGUGUCACAUGAUAUUUCAUUGGUUUCUUGUAAUUUCAUGCGACUUUUCGAGAAAUUUGUUCAGAAAAUGGUUUUCUUUUUUAGAGCAGUAACAGAUUUUGUGGAAUGAAUGAAGAAAAAGAACUCAGACUUUAACAGAGAUAUAGGUGUGUAAUAAAUGUAUUUAGAGACUUAUAAGUUACUAAGGUGCAAAUCAUUUUAUAAAUAUUUAAACAGAACUUUGUUUUUAGUUACGGUAGGAGUGCAAUUUCAAAGCAGAGCAUGCAUACCUAUAUCUAUAAUUGG
RNAcentral lists this long non-coding RNA (3115 nucleotides) under Mytilus galloprovincialis (Mediterranean mussel). The record is from RNAcentral. Lineage: Eukaryota; Metazoa; Mollusca; Bivalvia; Mytilida; Mytilidae.